Molecule: ribosomal RNA, 294 nt
Filed under: uncultured bacterium
Lineage: Bacteria
Description: partial 16S ribosomal RNA
Rfam family: Bacterial small subunit ribosomal RNA
Source: RNAcentral
CCUACGGGGGGCAGCAGUGGGGAAUAUUGCACAAUGGAGGGAACUCUGAUGCAGCGACGCCGCGUGAGUGAAGAAGUAAUUCGUUAUGUAAAGCUCUAUCAGCAGGGAAGAAAGUGACGGUACCUGAAAAAGAAGCUCCGGCUAACUACGUGCCAGCAGCCGCGGUAAUACGUAGGGAGCAAGCGUUAUCCGGAUUUACUGGGUGUAAAGGGCGUGUAGGCGGGCAUGCAAGCCAGAAGUGAAAUCUGUGGGCUUAACCCCCAAACUGCUUUUGGAACUGCGUGUCUUGAGUGA